CGGGCAGCAGUGAGGAAUAUUGCCCAAUGGAGGAAACUCUGAGGCAGCAACGCCGCGUGAACGAUGACGGCCUUCGGGUUGUAAAGUUCUUUUCUCAGGGACGAUGAUGACGGUACCUGAGGAAUAAGUCCCGGCUAACUACGUGCCAGCAGCCGCGGUAAAACGUAGGGGACAAGCGUUAUCCGGAUUUACUGGGCGUAAAGCGCCCGUAGGCGGCUUUUUAAGUUGGACGUGAAAGCUCCCGGCUUAACUGGGAGAGGCCGUUCAAAAACUGAGAGGCUAGAGUGAGGCAGAGGAGCGCGGAAUUCCCGGUGUAGUGGUGGAAUGCGUAGAUAUCGGGAGGAACACCAGUGGCGAAGGCGGCGCUCUGGGCCUAAACUGACGCUGAGGGGCGAAAGCGUGGGGAGCGAACGGGAUUAGAUACCCUGGUAGUCCACGCCGUAAACGAUGAGUGCUAGACGUUGGGGCCCUUAGGGCUUCGGUGUCGCAGCUAACGCGUUAAGCACUCCGCCUGGGGAGUACGGCCGCAAAGGUUA
This 536-nucleotide ribosomal RNA is filed under the name uncultured bacterium. Its description in RNAcentral is "bacterial SSU rRNA". It matches the Rfam family "Bacterial small subunit ribosomal RNA", at positions 345 to 896 of the family's 1533-position model. The record is from RNAcentral.